CCGAGUGAGGGCCCGAGGGCCCGACCUCCAACCCUUUGUUGACCAACACUGUUGCCUCGGGGGUGACCCGGCCUCGGCGCCGGGGCCCCCGGUGGACCAUUUCAACUCUGCAUCUGUACGUCGGAGUUCUUUGCGAAUCAAUUA
Molecule: unclassified non-coding RNA, 144 nt
Filed under: uncultured Dothideomycetes
Lineage: Eukaryota; Fungi; Ascomycota; Dothideomycetes
Description: sequence contains ITS1
Source: RNAcentral